AUUGAACGCUGGCGGCAUGCCUUACACAUGCAAGUCGAACGGCAGCACGGGAGCAAUCCUGGUGGCGAGUGGCGAACGGGUGAGUAAUAUAUCGGAACGUGCCCGGUCGUGGGGGAUAACGUAGCGAAAGCUACGCUAAUACCGCAUACGAUCUACGGAUGAAAGCGGGGGGAUCGCAAGACCUCGCGCGAUUGGAGCGGCCGAUAUCAGAUUAGGUAGUUGGUGAGGUAAAGGCUCACCAAGCCGACGAUCUGUAGCUGGUCUGAGAGGACGACCAGCCACACUGGGACUGAGACACGGCCCAGACUCCUACGGGAGGCAGCAGUGGGGAAUUUUGGACAAUGGGCGCAAGCCUGAUCCAGCAAUGCCGCGUGCAGGAUGAAGGCCUUCGGGUU
RNAcentral lists this ribosomal RNA (395 nucleotides) under uncultured bacterium. RNAcentral describes it as "bacterial SSU rRNA". It matches the Rfam family "Bacterial small subunit ribosomal RNA", at positions 30 to 424 of the family's 1533-position model. The record is from RNAcentral.